This 497-nucleotide ribosomal RNA is filed under the name uncultured bacterium. RNAcentral describes it as "partial 16S ribosomal RNA". It matches the Rfam family "Bacterial small subunit ribosomal RNA", at positions 28 to 507 of the family's 1533-position model. The record is from RNAcentral.
GAUGAACGCUGGCGGCGUGCCUAAUACAUGCAAGUCGAGCGAACAGAUGAGGAGCUUGCUCCGCUGACGUUAGCGGCGGACGGGUGAGUAACACGUGGAUAACCUACCUAUAAGACUGGGAUAACUUCGGGAAACCGGAGCUAAUACCGGAUAAUAUAUUUAACCGCAUGGUUCAAUAGUGAAAGACGGUUUUGCUGUCACUUAUAGAUGGAUCCGCGCCGCAUUAGCUAGUUGGUAAGGUAACGGCUUACCAAGGCAACGAUGCGUAGUCGACCUGAGAGGGUGAUCGGCCACACUGGAACUGAGACACGGUCCAGACUCCUACGGGAGGCAGCAGUAGGGAAUCUUCCGCAAUGGGCGAAAGCCUGACGGAGCAACGCCGCGUGAGUGAUGAAGGUCUUCGGAUCGUAAAACUCUGUUAUUAGGGAAGAACAAAUGUGUAAGUAACUAUGCACGUCUUGACGGUACCUAAUCAGAAAGCCACGGCUAACUACGUG